AGCGAACGCUGGCGGCAGGCCUAACACAUGCAAGUCGAACGAACCUUUCGGGGUUAGUGGCGGACGGGUGAGUAACACGUGGGAACGUGCCUUUAGGUUCGGAAUAACUCAGGGAAACUUGUGCUAAUACCGAAUGUGCCCUUCGGGGGAAAGAUUAAUCGCCUUUAGAGCGGCCCGCGUCGGAUUAGCUAGUUGGUUGAGGUAAUGGCUCACCAAGGCGACGAUCAGUAGCUGGUCUGAGAGGAUGAUCAGCCACAUUGGGACUGAGACACGGCCCAAACUCCUACGGGAGGCAGCAGUGGGGAAUCUUGCGCAAUGGGCGAAAGCCUGACGCAGCCAUGCCGCGUGAAUGAUGAAGGUCUUAGGAUUGUAAAAUUCUUUCACCGGGGACGAUAAUGACGGUACCCGGAGAAGAAGCCCCGGCUAACUUCGUG
This 434-nucleotide ribosomal RNA is filed under the name uncultured bacterium. RNAcentral describes it as "partial 16S ribosomal RNA". It matches the Rfam family "Bacterial small subunit ribosomal RNA", at positions 29 to 507 of the family's 1533-position model. The record is from RNAcentral.